Molecule: long non-coding RNA, 344 nt
Organism: Carya illinoinensis
Lineage: Eukaryota; Viridiplantae; Streptophyta; Magnoliopsida; Fagales; Juglandaceae
Exons: 2
Source: RefSeq, a predicted model, not a curated record
CUCUCACCCACCCAAUCGCACUCUUUUCCAUCUUUUCUCUGUUACAUUUAACUUCUACCAACAACAACCACCACCCUCUACGGCUUGCAACAUCACGUCGCUUUAGUGCCUCGGUGCAACAGCGCGUGGUCUUAAGAGAGAAAUAACGAAAACAACAGCUAUAGGGUCUGGGUCUAAGGAUCUCUCGUAUCUCCCCUCUUUGUUUGUUGAAUCCUCUGAGCAUCUUUUUUUUUUUUAGAUCUAAACAUAUAUUACAUAUUAUUUUUUGGUUUGGUUUAAUUUCAUGUAUAUGCAUAUGAUUUAUUUACUUAAAUUUUAGAAAUUCAAACAUCUUACAGAUUGUA